UCUCCGUUGGUGAACCAGCGGAGGGAUCAUUACCGAGUUUACAACUCCCAAACCCAUGUGAACAUACCUACUGUUGCUUCGGCGGGAUUGCCCCGGGCGCCUCGUGUGCCCCGGAUCAGGCGCCCGCCUAGGAAACUUAAUUCUUGUUUUAUUUUGGAAUCUUCUGAGUAAAACCAUAAAUAAAUCAAAACUUUCAACAACGGAUCUCUUGGUUCUG
RNAcentral lists this unclassified non-coding RNA (217 nucleotides) under root metagenome. RNAcentral's name for it is "partial contains small subunit ribosomal RNA, internal transcribed spacer 1, and 5.8S ribosomal RNA". The record is from RNAcentral.